RNAcentral lists this ribosomal RNA (377 nucleotides) under uncultured bacterium. Its description in RNAcentral is "bacterial SSU rRNA". It matches the Rfam family "Bacterial small subunit ribosomal RNA", at positions 523 to 898 of the family's 1533-position model. The record is from RNAcentral.
AUACGUAGGUGGCGAGCGUUGUCCGGAUUUACUGGGCGUAAAGGAUGCGUAGGCGGAUAUGUAAGUCAGAUGUGAAAACCCCAGGCUUAACUUGGGGACUGCAUUUGAAACUGUGUAUCUGGAGUGCAGGAGAGGAAAGUGGAAUUCCUAGUGUAGCGGUGAAAUGCGUAGAGAUUAGGAAGAACAUCAGUGGCGAAGGCGGCUUUCUGGACUGUAACUGACGCUGAUGCAUGAAAGCGUGGGGAGCAAACAGGAUUAGAUACCCUGGUAGUCCACGCUGUAAACGAUGAAUACUAGGUGUGGGAGGUAUCGACCCCUUCCGUGCCGCAGCCAACGCAAUAAGUAUUCCGCCUGGGGAGUACGGUCGCAAGAUUAAA